GCCCCUGUAGCUCAGUGGAUAGAGCACUGGCCUCCGGAGCCAGUGGCAAGGGUUCGAGUCCCUUCAGGGGUA
This 72-nucleotide transfer RNA is filed under the name Dehalococcoidia bacterium. RNAcentral's name for it is "tRNA-Arg". It matches the Rfam family "tRNA". From Rfam's summary of the family: Transfer RNA (tRNA) molecules are approximately 80 nucleotides in length. Their secondary structure includes four short double-helical elements and three loops (D, anti-codon, and T loops). Further hydrogen bonds mediate the characteristic L-shaped molecular structure. tRNAs have two regions of fundamental functional importance: the anti-codon, which is responsible for specific mRNA codon recognition, and the 3' end, to which the tRNAs corresponding amino acid is attached (by aminoacyl-tRNA synthetases). tRNAs cope with the degeneracy of the genetic code in two manners: having more than one tRNA (with a specific anti-codon) for a particular amino acid; and 'wobble' base-pairing, i.e. permitting non-standard base-pairing at the 3rd anti-codon position. Lineage: Bacteria; Bacillati; Chloroflexota; Dehalococcoidia. RNAcentral also lists the same sequence under 1 other name. The record is from RNAcentral.